UAGGGAAUCUUCCACAAUGGACGCAAGUCUGAUGGAGCAACGCCGCGUGAGUGAAGAAGGGUUUCGGCUCGUAAAGCUCUGUUAUUAAAGAAGAACGUGGGUAAGAGUAACUGUUUACCCAGUGACGGUAUUUAACCAGAAAGCCACGGCUAACUACGUGCCAC
This 164-nucleotide ribosomal RNA is filed under the name uncultured bacterium. Its description in RNAcentral is "partial 16S rRNA". It matches the Rfam family "Bacterial small subunit ribosomal RNA", at positions 355 to 511 of the family's 1533-position model. The record is from RNAcentral.